AAGAUUACCUCAGUUAUAUUGUCCCUGUGGUCUCACCUUUCCCCAAAAUUGACGUGACUCAUAGUCAGCACCCUCAUGUUUCCAGCUUUUACGCCUUGAUGUAUUUUCUUGAUAUCCUUCCCUUUUGCGACAAGCACCAAAAGGUAUUCGGGAGUCAUUUUUUUCAAUGUUNUAAUUGGAAGAGAGAGAGUGCUGGAGCGCUUGGGAGAGAGAGAGAUCGCUGUUCGUAGAGAGAGAUAUCGUCAGGAGAAGAAUCGCUGUGCAAGAGAGGAGAGCUCUGUUUUUACGUGGCCCGGCGUUUUAAUUUGGCAACGGGAAUGAAUCUGUACCGGGUGUUUUAAAAGGAAUGAGUUUGUUAUUAUUUUAGCCCAAAAGGAAUGGACUUGGAUUAGUCAUUCCAUUCAACUGGCCCAACCAAACAACACAAUUAUUCAUUCAGCCCGGAAUGGCCAUUCCAUUCAGCCCAAAAUGAUUCCAUUCAAGUGAAGUGAACAGAGCCUAAUACAUCCAGAAACUAGAGUCCUAGCUUUCAAAAAAAACCAAUCUCAUUCGGUUUUACGCAUAGAAGAUAGUGGACCUGAAUCCCUAUAGAGGACAGUUACGCAGUAACAAGGACUGGAAAGUGUGAAUAUGCAAAAGAACAAAGAGGUAAAGGACACCAAAGAGUGUUCUUCCAGAGCUAUAUGCAGGAAUCAAGAAAACAAGGAACAUCAGAUUGCCCAACCUCACAUGGUCUGCAUAUAUAGUUCAUCUCAGCCUACUUCAAGUUUUUGGGAAGUUUUUUUUGCUAAUGGCGACCCUGCUCUAUCCAAGUAUAGAUAUUACGCAAAUGAAAGAAGCUACUACUGGAGUUUCUCUAGUCUUACCCCUACGCAAAUGAAAGAAGCUCCGACUAAAGUCUCUCUACUCUUCCCCCUCAACAUCUUUCUUUGCUGUCGUACCCAAUAUAUAUUGGGUUCAACCGGAAAGCAAUCACUUUACAGGUGAUGAUCUACUAACAAACAAGUCACCUGUGCCUAGUGGAUCAUCUUUACCUUUGUUCGAUGGUAAAUUGGAAAACCUCCUUUUUCAUUUACUUUUUUACAGAACUUGUGGAGUUGGCUUGUAAUACAUAUAUAGGUUUCCAAGUUAGUUGUAUCUUCCCUGCAACAUGCAUUACUCAUCUCAUCAAAAUUUCUCUGCAUCCAUAUUAACAAGCAGGUCCAACAAGUAAAAAGUAAAACAUCCACAAUAAUGUCGUGUUCACUAAAUGCAGAAAGGUACUAACAUUCAAUAAUCGCACACACUAAAAAUUAUAGCAGAAGGGUCAUUAAAGGUCUCUGAGAUAACAGGAGCGGCAUAGCAACAUCAGCCACAAAGUUCUGAUUACAAGAGAAACCAAACAAGGAAUACAUUUUCUAGUCCGUUCACAUAUUAAAAAGAUACAUACUCAUAUUGUGAGCAAAAGCAUAGUACAUUCUGAUUCAGUGUAACCUUCAUUCAAAAUGACCACUACGCCCGACGUAGUAUAUUCCUAAAAAUUAAGAUUACCUCAGUUAUAUUGUCCCUGUGGUCUCACCUUUCCCCAAAAUUGACGUGACUCAUAGUCAGCACCCUCAUGUUUCCAGCUUUUACGCCUUGAUGUAUUUUCUUGAUAUCCUUCCCUUUUGCGACAAGCACCAAAAGGUAUUCGGGAGUCAUUUUUUUCAAUGUUGUUAUAUUGAUUGGUUGACCAUUUUGAGUUUCGAGAAUUGCUUCCACAAUCAGUAUAUUGCCCAGAAUUUGAGGUUCCACCAGGACCCGACUUCCAGGAAUCUACAUUGCCUGAAUU
RNAcentral lists this long non-coding RNA (1810 nucleotides) under Daucus carota (carrot). RNAcentral describes it as "long non-coding RNA (DCAR_LNC000385)". The record is from RNAcentral. Lineage: Eukaryota; Viridiplantae; Streptophyta; Magnoliopsida; Apiales; Apiaceae.